RNAcentral lists this long non-coding RNA (678 nucleotides) under Cyanistes caeruleus (blue tit). Its description in RNAcentral is "lncRNA (ENSCCEG00000013510.1)". The record is from RNAcentral. Lineage: Eukaryota; Metazoa; Chordata; Aves; Passeriformes; Paridae.
AUCUGUGUUACAGGUGCACUUGUGCCUGAUCUCCCAUCGCCUGGGUAGCCAACACAGCUGCUUCUCCCAGUGUUAUUGAAGGACAGGAACCAAAGAAUGUACUUUCCAAAUGAAUGUUCACCCAGAAAUCUGUGAGGCAGAAGGUGCCUUCAGGAAUAGCACUCAGUCCUUGCACCACAGUCCUGAGCAGCAAAUGGUUCUACGGACUUCAGGAGGAGGCAAAUGAACUUCAAGCUGAGUUGCAGAGUGGAAGGUGCCAUCAAUCCCUUUGCAUUAGGGGCAGCAGUUUCCUCCUUCCCAACACGUAUUUUGGAAAGUGCAGCACAGUUGGCCUCUUCAUUCUUUUCCAAUCAAGCUCUGCCUAUUAAGGAAUCCCAAAUAAAAAGAAACAGAGAAGUCCAGCAACAUGAGAUGGCAUCCACAGGGAAAACAGAGCUGAGUGAAUUGUGGCAGGGUUACUUUAAAGCAUGGCCUUCCCUGGAACAUCCUCCACCUGACUCAAUGUGAGCCCAAGACUUGCAGGUGCCUUUUAACUAUCCACAGAGUAAACCCAGCUCUGCCAGGCUGUGCUGCACCAGGGUCCCUCCUGCCCCAUGGGGGAGAGCAGCAGGAUGGGGCAGAGAAGGCAGAGCCUGCUGGUGCUCUCAGGGCCCUGACCACACUCCCAUUUCAAGACAC